GACGAACGCUGGCGGCGUGCCUAAUACAUGCAAGUCGAGCGGACCGACGGGAGCUUGCUCCCUUAGGUCAGCGGCGGACGGGUGAGUAACACGUGGGUAACCUGCCUGUAAGACUGGGAUAACUCCGGGAAACCGGGGCUAAUACCGGAUGCUUGAUUGAGCCGCAUGGUUCAAUUAUAAAAGGUGGCUUUCAGCUACCACUUACAGAUGGACCCGCGGCGCAUUAGCUAGUUGGUGAGGUAACGGCUCACCAAGGCGACGAUGCGUAGCCGACCUGAGAGGGUGAUCGGCCACACUGGGACUGAGACACGGCCCAGACUCCUACGGGAGGCAGCAGUAGGGAAUCUUCCGCAAUGGACGAAAGUCUGACGGAGCAACGCCGCGUGAGUGAUGAAGGUAUUCGGAUCGUAAAACUCUGUUGUUAGGGAAGAACAAGUACCGUUCGAAUAGGGCGGCACCUUGACGGUACCUAACCAGAAAGCUACGGCUAACUACGUGCCAGCAGCCGCGGUAAUACGUAGGUGGCAAGCGUUGUCCGGAAUUAUUGGGCGUAAAGCGCGCGCAGGCGGUUUCUUAAGUCUGAUGUGAAAGCCCCCGGCUCAACCGGGGAGGGUCAUUGGAAACUGGGGAACUUGAGUGCAGAAGAGGAGAGUGGAAUUCCACGUGUAGCGGUGAAAUGCGUAGAGAUGUGGAGGAACACCAGUGGCGAAGGCGACUCUCUGGUCUGUAACUGACGCUGAGGCGCGAAAGCGUGGGGAGCGAACAGGAUUAGAU
Molecule: ribosomal RNA, 774 nt
Filed under: uncultured Bacilli bacterium
Lineage: Bacteria; Bacillati; Bacillota; Bacilli
Description: bacterial SSU rRNA
Rfam family: Bacterial small subunit ribosomal RNA
Source: RNAcentral